Rosa chinensis is the source of this 1538-nucleotide long non-coding RNA. RefSeq lists it as uncharacterized. The record is from RefSeq and is a predicted model, not a curated record. Lineage: Eukaryota; Viridiplantae; Streptophyta; Magnoliopsida; Rosales; Rosaceae. The transcript has 3 exons.
GCAACAGCCAACAUCUGUCCGAAAGCAAAAAAUUAAAACAUAAGACCUCUCAUUGAUCGUCCGAUUUGGAUUGUUGUCCUUCACCGUCCUCCUCCGCCUAGGUUUGCCUGGGUUUUGUUUACAGAAAUUGAAAUGGGUUUGUUGGUCAUUGUGUUUCUCUAAUGAUUGCGAGUUUCUCUUAGAUUUAGCGUUUGCGAGUAAUUGUGAUUAGAUUUAGGGUUCUGCAUCUGCUUAGAUUUAGGGUUUGUCUGACUUCAAAUUUCGUAAUCAUACUUCGAAUUUUACUUCACUAGGUUGCUGAGAAACUGACGAGGAAGUUUUUGAGCUUUUUGUGGGCUUUGUUCUUUGAGCACUGUGUAUGUACUGUCUCGAAUUUUAUUUGGAAUUGGGUUUUCAGUUUUGUUAAAUCGUUAAACUGAUGAAGAAUGAGAAGCUUUAUGCAUCACAGGGAGGACCCAUCAUUUUAUCCCAAGUUAAAUUUUCUAUCUGCUUUUGUUACCUUAUCCAAUUUUGGUCUUUGAGACUUUGGUACUUUAUAAGUUUCUAAAGGAGAUUAAAUGUUGUCUGUCAAAUAUCUCAGAUUGAAAAUGAGUAUGGAAACAUUGGUAAAGCAUAUGGGCCUGCUGCCAAAACCUUCAUUAAUUGGGCAGCAAACAUGGCUGUGUCUUUGGAUACAGGGGUGCCCUGGGUCAUGUGCCAGCAAGCAGAUGCUCCUUCUUCAGUGAUCAACACUUGCAAUGGAUUUUACUGUGAUCAAUUCACCCCAAAUUCUAACAGCACACCCAAAAUGUGGACCGAGAAUUGGAGUGGAUGGUAAGGAGCCUUUGGGGACUCCACUCAUUAGCAAGGCCACCCAGUGUGAGGGGACUCUACUCAUUAGCAAAUAUCCACUUUUUAAGAUAUACUGUCUUUCUGGAUUAUGUUGCCUGGGUCCUAAGCCUCUGAAGGAUACAAAUCUCCAUGGAAUAUGGAAGAAAGUUCAACCUUUUGCUGACUUAGGCAGCCAAAAUGGGGUCAUCUAAAAGAUGUGCACAAAGCGAUAAAGCUUCGUGAAGCUGCAAUGGUGGCCACUGACCCAACAUUGAGGUAGAAUCCUUUACUUUUGUUUGAGAUUGAUUUGUGGCUAUCAUAUAAGAAUAUGUAGCUGAACUUCUUCUGAAGUUCUAGUUUUCAAGAUCCCAGCCUAGGUGAAUGGCUCCAUAUGGCCAUAUAUAUGGUGCGGACUUGGCACUACCUAUUUAGUGUUUACCAGCUCAACAGUGCAAUAGAGCUUACAACUUAGACAAGUGAGAAGUGAUAUCUGGGGAUUCUGAACUUACAGCUUUCUCAAGAUGUAGUAAUUGCCUUUUCAGCUAGUCGUCUUUCUUUCGACAUUUAAAUUUCCUUUCUACAUCAAUUUGGCAGCAUUGAUGUCAAAGAUGGAUAUAAAGAUGAUCUUCACGUGCAAUCGCUUGGUCAUGCCUUUCAUGUUUUUGUCAAUAUGAAAGCUUGUAGGUGAUCUAUAAAUUAACUACCUUGAAUUACACAUAUUUGGUUAU